This is a small RNA of Methanospirillum hungatei JF-1, 72 nucleotides long. It matches the Rfam family "DUF3800-X RNA". Lineage: Archaea; Methanobacteriati; Methanobacteriota; Methanomicrobia; Methanomicrobiales; Methanospirillaceae. The record is from Rfam.
AAGUGAGUAAGUCCUCCCUGAAAGAAUGAGGCUGCCGGAUGGUGGAUGGAACAAGUAAGAGAGGGUUCACGA